AGUCAUCAACCCUCCUUGCUUUUUGCAGGGCAGGGCUUGGAGUUUGAGGGUGUUGCUGCCGAAGGGCGGCUCCCUCCAAAUGCUUCGGUUGGGCCUGCGGGUCGAACUCGACUGGGCGUUGUACCAUCCUCGCUCGACCGAGAUGUUCCCCUUUGUGCCUCGACCUCGACCGCCUGUGGAGCGGCGGUCAACAAACCAUUUGAA
Molecule: unclassified non-coding RNA, 204 nt
Filed under: uncultured Trechisporales
Lineage: Eukaryota; Fungi; Basidiomycota; Agaricomycetes; Trechisporales
Description: sequence contains ITS2
Source: RNAcentral